GAUGAACGCUGGCGGCGUGCUUACCACAUGCAAGUCGAACGGUGAAGCAGGAGCUUGCUCUUGUGGAUCAGUGGAGAAGGGGUGAGAACCACGUGAGCAACCUGCCCCUGAACCUGGGAGAAGCGCUGGAAACGGCGAUUAACACCGGAUCUGUGAUGUGACCGAAUGGUCUGCAUAUGGAAAGAACUUCGGUUGGGGAUGGGCUCGCGGCCUAUCAGCUUGUUGGUGUGGUAAUAGAUCACCAAGGCGUCGACGGGUAGCCGGCAUGAGAGGAAAACCAGCCACACUGGAACUGAGACACGGCCCAGACUCCUACGGGAGGCAGCAGUGGGGAAUAUCGCACAAUGGGCGGAAGCCUGAUGCAGCAACGCCGCGUUAGGGAUGACGGCCUUCGGGUUGUAAACCUCUUUUAGCAGGGAAUAAGCGUAAGUGACGGUACCUGCAGAAAAAGCACCGGCUAACUACGUGCCAUCCGCCGCAGUAA
RNAcentral lists this ribosomal RNA (484 nucleotides) under uncultured bacterium. RNAcentral's name for it is "partial 16S ribosomal RNA". It matches the Rfam family "Bacterial small subunit ribosomal RNA", at positions 28 to 523 of the family's 1533-position model. The record is from RNAcentral.